ACGGAGGGGGCAAGCGUUAUUCGGAAUUACUGGGCGUAAAGCGCGCGCAGGUGGUGCGAUAAGUGGCAGGUGAAAUCCCUCGGCUUAACCGGGGAACGGCCUGCCAAACUGUCGAACUUGAGGCUGGGAGGGGGGAGCGGAAUUCCGGGUGUAGCAGUGAAAUGCGUAGAUAUCCGGAGGAAGACCGAUGGCGAAGGCAGCCCUCUGGGAUAGUUCUGACGCUCAUGCGCGAAAGCGUGGGUAGCAAACAG
RNAcentral lists this ribosomal RNA (251 nucleotides) under uncultured prokaryote. RNAcentral describes it as "partial 16S rRNA". It matches the Rfam family "Bacterial small subunit ribosomal RNA", at positions 525 to 775 of the family's 1533-position model. The record is from RNAcentral.